Molecule: ribosomal RNA, 497 nt
Filed under: uncultured bacterium
Lineage: Bacteria
Description: partial 16S ribosomal RNA
Rfam family: Bacterial small subunit ribosomal RNA
Source: RNAcentral
GAUGAACGCUGGCGGCGUGCCUAAUACAUGCAAGUCGAGCGAACGGACGAGAAGCUUGCUUCUCUGAUGUUAGCGGCGGACGGGUGAGUAACACGUGGAUAACCUACCUAUAAGACUGGGAUAAAUUCGGGAAACCGGAGCGAAUACCGGAUAAUAUUUUGAACCGCAUGGUUCAAAAGUGAAAGACGGUCUUGCUGUCACUUGUAGAUGGAUCCGCGCUGCAUUAGCUAGUUGGUAAGGUAACGGCUUACCAAGGCAACGAUGCAUAGCCGACCUGAGAUGGUGGUCAGCCACACUGGAACUGAGACACGGUCCAGACUCCUACGGGAGGCAGCAGUAGGGAAUCUUCCGCAAUGGGAGAAAGCCUGACGGGGCAACGCCGCGUGGGUGAUGAAGGUCUUCGGAUAUUAAAACUCUGUUAUUAGGGAAGAACAUAUGUGUAAGUAACUGUGCACAUCUUGACGGUACCUAAUCAGAAAGCCACGGCUAACUACGUG